GAACGAGAAAGUGGAGCAAUCCAUGAGUAAAGUGGCGACCGGGUGAGCAACACGUGACUAACCUACCUUCGAGUGGGGGAUAACCUCGGGAAACCGGGGCUAAUACCGCAUAAUGCCUUCGGGUUAAAGGAGCAAUUCGCUUGAAGAGGGGGUCGCGGCUGAUUAGCUAGUUGGCGGGGUAACGGCCCACCAAGGCGAUGAUCGGUAGCCGGCCUGAGAGGGCGCACGGCCACACUGGAACUGAAACACGGUCCAGACUCCUACGGGAGGCAGCAGUGGGGAAUUUUGCGCAAUGGGGGAAACCCUGACGCAGCAACGCCGCGUGGAGGAUGAAGUCCCUUGGGACGUAAACUCCUUUCGACCGGGACGAUAAUGACGGUACCGGUGGAAGAAGCCCCGGCUAACUUCGUG
RNAcentral lists this ribosomal RNA (411 nucleotides) under uncultured bacterium. RNAcentral's name for it is "bacterial SSU rRNA". It matches the Rfam family "Bacterial small subunit ribosomal RNA", at positions 64 to 507 of the family's 1533-position model. The record is from RNAcentral.